Long non-coding RNA from Myotis davidii, 227 nucleotides. RefSeq lists it as uncharacterized. The transcript is spliced from 3 exons. Lineage: Eukaryota; Metazoa; Chordata; Mammalia; Chiroptera; Vespertilionidae. The record is from RefSeq and is a predicted model, not a curated record.
AUCGUUGUACUUCAUCAAUAUAAAUAAAAAUGUAAAUGUUCAUUUGUUCAAAAUCUUAAAUCUCUGAAAGUUCUUCACUGAUUGCUUUGAAAUUUUGACACAAUGUUGCAUUCGAACACACGCGUGUUUCUAUAUACCUAUAAACCUAUUAUUAUAUAGAUGUCACACCUGUGACAGGUAAAAACAUGUUUUUGAAAAACAGCGCCAUCUGUUGGACGUUAAAGCAA